UGCAGUCGAGCGAACUGAUGAAGAGCUUGCUUUUGAUCAGUUAGCGGCGGACGGGUGAGUAACACGUGGGUAACCUGCCUGUAAGACUAGGAUAACUCCGGGAAACCGGGGCUAAUACUGGAUAACUUUUCUCUCUGCAUGGAGAGAGAUUGAAAGAUGGCUUCGGCUAUCACUUACAGAUGGACCCGCGGCGCAUUAGCUAGUUGGUGAGGUAACGGCUCACCAAGGCAACGAUGCGUAGCCGACCUGAGAGGGUGAUCGGCCACAUUGGGACUGAGACACGGCCCAAACUCCUACGGGAGGCAGCAGUAGGGAAUCUUCCGCAAUGGACGAAAGUCUGACGGAGCAACGCCGCGUGAGUGAAGAAGGUCUUCGGAUCGUAAAACUCUGUUGUUAGGGAAGAACAAGUAUCGUUCGAAUAGGGCGGUACCUUGACGGUACCUAACCAGAAAGCCACGGCUAACUACGUGCCAGCAGCCGCGGUAAUACGUAGGUGGCAAGCGUUGUCCGGAAUUAUUGGGCGUAAAGCGCGCGCAGGCGGUCUUUUAAGUCUGAUGUGAAAGCCCACGGCUCAACCGUGGAGGGUCAUUGGAAACUGGAAGACUUGAGUGCAGAAGAGGAGAGUGGAAUUCCACGUGUAGCGGUGAAAUGCGUAGAGAUGUGGAGGAACACCAGUGGCGAAGGCGACUCUCUGGUCUGUAACUGACGCUGAGGCGCGAAAGCGUGGGGAGCAAACAGGAUUAGAUACCCUGGUAGUCCACGCUGUAAACGAUGAGUGCUAAGUGUUAGAGGGUUUCCGCCCUUUAGUGCUGCAGCUAACGCAUUAAG
RNAcentral lists this ribosomal RNA (828 nucleotides) under uncultured bacterium. RNAcentral's name for it is "bacterial SSU rRNA". It matches the Rfam family "Bacterial small subunit ribosomal RNA", at positions 56 to 864 of the family's 1533-position model. The record is from RNAcentral.